RNAcentral lists this ribosomal RNA (117 nucleotides) under uncultured bacterium. RNAcentral describes it as "partial 16S ribosomal RNA". It matches the Rfam family "Bacterial small subunit ribosomal RNA", at positions 355 to 470 of the family's 1533-position model. The record is from RNAcentral.
UAGGGAAUUUUCGUCAAUGGGGGCAACCCUGAACGAGCAAUGCCGCGUGAGCGAAGAAGGUCUUCGGAUUGUAAAGCUCUGUUGCCGGGGAAAAGGAAGGAAAGAGGAAUAGCUUUU